Molecule: long non-coding RNA, 685 nt
Filed under: Rattus norvegicus (Norway rat)
Lineage: Eukaryota; Metazoa; Chordata; Mammalia; Rodentia; Muridae
Description: long non-coding RNA NONRATT033263
Source: RNAcentral
AUGACGUCAUCAAGGCUUGUUGUUGAUUGGCUGUUUUCAUGCUUUGUGCCAGCCUUGGCUUGAAGUGCUGUGGAUGUAGGACUGAAUCAGACAUGCUCUGUCCUUAGACGUCCAGGAGAGCAGAUGGUAACCAAGCUGCUGGCAGACACAUAAUUCAGCAACAACAUGAGCUGGGACAGCAGCAUCCUAAGAUUUUCCUGACUGUUAGAAUGCUCACCCGAGGCUUGGUAAAUUAGUUUUGUUUUUUCUUUUAAGGGAAGAUCAUGGUAAUAUGCAUUGUCACAGAAACCCAAGUUUGAUCCUAGAAAACCAGAAAGGAGAAUGCCCCAUUCCAGAAGGCAGACAGAAGAUGCCUUUGCUGACUUGUGCUCUGUCAACUCAAAGACCAGAGCUGUUUGGGAAGAGCGAAGCUCAGUUGAGAAAAUGCCUGCACCAGAAUGGCCUGUGGGGAAGCCUGCAGUGCAUAUUCUUGAUUGAUGAUUGAUGCGGAAGGGCCCAGCUCACUGUGGGUGGUGCCACCCCUGAGCUGGUAAUGCUGGGUGCAUAAAAAAAUCAACCUGAACAAGCAAUAGAAGGAGCAAGCAAUAAGAAGCAUUCUUACACCACCACCUCUGCUUCAGUUCCUGCCCUGACUCAAGGAAUGAUAGGCUUUUCUGUAAUGUGAAAUAAACACUUUCCUCCCCAA